RNAcentral lists this ribosomal RNA (253 nucleotides) under uncultured bacterium. RNAcentral describes it as "partial 16S ribosomal RNA". It matches the Rfam family "Bacterial small subunit ribosomal RNA", at positions 524 to 776 of the family's 1533-position model. The record is from RNAcentral.
UACGUAGGUGACAAGCGUUGUCCGGAUUUACUGGGCGUAAAGAGCGCGCAGGCGGUCGUUCAAGUCGAGUGUGAAAGCCCCCGGCUCAACUGGGGAGGGUCAUUCGAUACUGAUCGACUCGAAGGCAGGAGAGGGUAGUGGAAUUCCCGGUGUAGUGGUGAAAUGCGUAGAUAUCAGGAGGAACACCAGUGGCGAAAGCGGCUUCCUGGUCCAGCACCGACGUUCAGGCACGAAAGCGUGGGGAGCAAACAGG